RNAcentral lists this ribosomal RNA (620 nucleotides) under Zaprionus tuberculatus. RNAcentral's name for it is "partial 16S ribosomal RNA". It matches the Rfam family "Bacterial large subunit ribosomal RNA", at positions 1895 to 2760 of the family's 2925-position model. Lineage: Eukaryota; Metazoa; Arthropoda; Insecta; Diptera; Drosophilidae. The record is from RNAcentral.
UUAAAGUCUAACCUGCCCACUGAAUUUUUUAAAUGGCCGCAGUAUUCUAACUGUGCAAAGGUAGCAUAAUCAUUAGUCUUUUAAUUGAAGGCUGGAAUGAAUGGUUGGACGAAAUAUUAACUGUUUCAUUUAAAUUUUUUAUAGAAUUUUAUUUUUUAGUCAAAAAGCUAAAAUAUAUUUAAAAGACGAGAAGACCCUAUAAAUCUUUAUAUUUUAUUUAUUUUAAUUAAAAAGAUUAAUUUUAUUAUAAUAAAAAAAAAUAUUUUAUUGGGGUGAUAUUAAAAUUUAAUAAACUUUUAAUUUUUAAAAACAUUAAUUUAUGAAUAAUUGAUCCAUUAAUAAUGAUUAAAAAAUUAAGUUACUUUAGGGAUAACAGCGUAAUUUUUUUGGAGAGUUCAUAUCGAUAAAAAAGAUUGCGACCUCGAUGUUGGAUUAAGAUAUAAUUUUGGGUGUAGCCGUUCAAAUUUUAAGUCUGUUCGACUUUUAAAUUCUUACAUGAUCUGAGUUCAAACCGGCGUAAGCCAGGUUGGUUUCUAUCUUUAAUAAAUUAUAAUAUUUUAGUACGAAAGGACCAAAUAUUAAAAUAAUUUUAUUUUUAGUUAAGAAUAUAAUUAAUAUAA